UUAACACAACAUUAUCAUAUCUUUAUCAAAUUAACCUCUAGUCUAAGGCAAUGGCGAUGAAUUCUGAGAAGACUCUUCUGGCUACAAUCAUUAUAUUUAUUCUAGUUUAAUCUCCGGCUGUGCCCAGCAACGCCGAUGGAUUAACUCGUCGAGAACUUGGGUUUCAGGAACCAAAAUGUGAAAACUGCAACUGUUGCCAACCAAAUACGCCGUCGUGUUGCGUUUGCGCUUGUGCAAUUCCGUUUUCGGCCGCCGUGGUCCAGUCGUGAUGGAAUAACAAUUAAGCAAAAUGACGAGAAGAGACGUUGUGUGAUGAUUUCUAAAUAAGAAUGUAAUAAGAAAAUAAUUGCUCCUGCAUUAAUGUUUUUGGAAAUAUGUUUCGGGUGAUUUGAAUUUUUGUUUGUGUGAAUAAUAUUGCUCCUGUUUUGGUUGGAGCUUCGUUUUCACCUUUGUUAAAAGUUUCAUUCGCCAUGUACAUUAUUUAAAUUUCUUAUUGUUAAGUUUUUUUGUUCAUUUGUACUA
Molecule: long non-coding RNA, 522 nt
Organism: Lycium ferocissimum
Lineage: Eukaryota; Viridiplantae; Streptophyta; Magnoliopsida; Solanales; Solanaceae
Exons: 2
Source: RefSeq, a predicted model, not a curated record